RNAcentral lists this ribosomal RNA (1233 nucleotides) under Triticum aestivum (bread wheat). RNAcentral's name for it is "partial small subunit ribosomal RNA". Lineage: Eukaryota; Viridiplantae; Streptophyta; Magnoliopsida; Poales; Poaceae. The record is from RNAcentral.
AUGGCACCCACGGCGACGGCGACGGCGGCGGAGCAGAGCCAGCAGCACACCAAGAAGGCGGUCGGUCUGGCGGCGCUCGACGCCUCCGGCCACCUCUCCCCGCUCGCCAUCACCCGAAGGAGCACCGGAGACGACGAUGUCGUGAUAAAGAUUCUGUAUUGCGGGAUCUGCCACUCUGACCUGCACAGCAUCAAGAACGACUGGAAGAACGCCAAGUACCCCAUGAUCCCUGGGCACGAGAUCGCCGGCGAGGUCACCGAGGCCGGCAAGAAUGUGACCAAGUUCAAGGCCGGCGACCGCGUCGGCGUCGGGUGCAUGGUGAACUCAUGCCAGUCCUGCGAGAGCUGCGACAAGGGCUUCGAGAACCACUGCCCGGGCAUGAUCUUCACCUACAACUCGGUCGACCGUGACGGCACCCUCACCUACGGCGGCUACUCCAGUAUGGUGGUGGUGCACGAGCGCUUCGUGGUCCGGUUCCCUGACGCCAUGCCGCUGGACAAGGGCGCGCCCCUGCUGUGCGCCGGCAUCACCGUGUACAGCCCCAUGAAGUAUCACGGGCUGAACGUUCCCGGGAUGCACCUCGGGGUGCUGGGACUGGGCGGGCUGGGCCACGUCGCCGUCAAGUUCGGCAAGGCCUUCGGGAUGAAGGUGACGGUGAUCAGCUCGUCGCCGGGGAAGAAGCAGGAGGCCCUCGAAAGGCUAGGCGCUGACGCGUUUGUUGUCAGCAAGGACGCCGACGAGAUGAAGGCUGCGAUGAGCACCAUGGAUGGCAUCAUAAACACGGUGUCUGCAAACAUCCCGAUGGCCCCUCUCUUCGGCCUACUGAAGCCCAACGGCAAGAUGAUCAUGGUCGGCCUCCCAGAGAAGCCUAUCGAGGUCCCUCCAUUUGCUCUGGUUGCCAGUAAGUUCACCUCUCCGAUCUCGCUCGCAACUGGAAGAAAUCAUGCGAUCGCAGGCAUUUUGCGCGUAACUGAUACCCAUAUUGUGCGCGUGGCUGAAUGUACAGGGAACAAGACCCUGGCCGGGAGCUGCAUCGGCGGCAUGAGGGACACCCAGGAGAUGCUAGACCUCGCGGCCAAGCACGGCGUGACGGCAGACAUCGAGGUGAUCGGCGCGGAGUACGUGAACACGGCCAUGGAGCGCCUUGCCAAGGCCGACGUCAGGUAUCGAUUCGUCAUCGACAUCGCCAACACCCUCGACAAGGCGGCCGCCGCCCCCGCUACAACCGAGUGA